This 83-nucleotide non-coding RNA is filed under the name Clostridiaceae bacterium. RNAcentral's name for it is "c-di-GMP sequence". It matches the Rfam family "c-di-GMP-I riboswitch aptamer". Rfam says of the family: GEMM was predicted in a large-scale screen for bacterial structured RNA regulatory elements. The record is from RNAcentral. Lineage: Bacteria; Bacillati; Bacillota; Clostridia; Eubacteriales; Clostridiaceae.
UUAAGAAAAAGGCAAACUUAGUGAAAACUAGGGACGCAAAGCUACGGGCCUAAAGCAAAAGCUAUGGUCGCCGGGUUGCCGAA